RNAcentral lists this long non-coding RNA (552 nucleotides) under Fukomys damarensis (Damara mole-rat). RNAcentral's name for it is "lncRNA (ENSFDAG00000029540.1)". The record is from RNAcentral. Lineage: Eukaryota; Metazoa; Chordata; Mammalia; Rodentia; Bathyergidae.
GAAGGAAAGAGAAUUGCUAUCCCUGGAAGGUAAUCUGAAUCCUCACUCCUGGAAUAGCACCAUGGGUCUCCAUUCACAGGUGCUAUGGUGUCGUUAUGAUUCCUCAUCUUCCUAGGUUACAGUGGCUCAGAUCCAGCCAUUUGUAUUUUAUUGGUCAUAUUGCCACCUGAGUAUUCUGAUGAAGACGGAAAGGAUCAUUAGGAGCCAGCACAGUGAUGCAGAGGACAAAACCCCAUGCACAAAACCCCAUGAGGCUGCCUGUGGAGAGGGUUCCUGUUGCUCAAUUCAUCUCAAGUCCAAGACACAGGUGCAAACUACAAGAGAGGAGGGACUGCUUUGUUUAAACUUCCGAGGGGAAGCAGCAAUGAGACACAGGAAGAACACCUGUCCUUGCUCAGGUCAGAUCUGCACCAGCCAUGGUUCUGUCCAUGCCAGAGACUCGAGUUGGAGGGGUAGAGGCCCCGAAGGCAGCCAGCCCUGAACUCACCCCCCAAAUCUUUCUUUUCUGGAUAGAGUUCAGUCUUGUGAUCUCCUCAUUCGCAAAAAGGAGGU